AAGCUGCUAGAGGGAGCGGCGGGCAGCGGACGGCGGGAAAAGGAGACUUACCUCGGUAUUCCUCCAUACGCCCCCCUUGAUCAUAAUUCGAGGCAUCUUGGCGGCAGGGUGUCUCGGCAAGCAGCCGAGAGGAGCUUCAGAGAAGUAGUAACAGCGAUUGGGCCACCGGACUCAAAGCCGCCACUUCCUCCAAGCGCGACCUUCUGCUUUGAAGAUCUGCGCAAGCGCAAGGUGGGAGGGGGCGCAGAAUAGCAAGUCUCGCGAGAUAUUGGGUGGCUGAAAGGGAAAAAGUGUCUUGUGGAAGCUCAGCUGCAGGAAGACUAACACAAAACCAUCAAACCACUCUGGCCAAAGCGCCUUACGCCCCGCGCAUGUCCAAAACAGAAUGGAAGAAACUACGGCUCUCGCGAGAUAGCGGCGGUAGCGCUUGGCUGGGAACUUAGUGGUGGGAUUGAUCGUGACGUCACCGAGUGGCAGAGGGUGGGAACGUCACGCGUACGGAAUUUCAGCACAGUUGCUCCGAAGAAGGCUUUGUUAAUUUAUUAAUCUAGCCCUUUCAAGUAUUUCAGUAAUAGGAAUUUAUUCACAGAAUACUCAGGAAAAUCCAGUAGUUUAUUUAAGGCUCAGUUUCCUAACCUGUAAAAUAGAGAUCAUAGUAAUGCCAACCUCACAGGAUUGUCGUAAGGGCUAAAUGAGAUCAUAGACCCAGCACAGUAUCUGAUCCAUAAUAACUGCUGCAAAACAAUAGCAGCUAUUACUGCAAGGAGGGCAACGCCAACUUCACCCCGUCCCCAGGUGAUCCAGGCUUCUUCCAGAAACCUGCAGAAACGUCACGUCAGAGUUUUUAAUUCAUCGCCCAGUCUGGAUUAAUAAUGCCAUUGGUCUUCGAGAUUUUAACACUGGAGCAUAGAGGAGGUCAGUCUCUACUGACUGCUGAACAUCCAACACGUGACACCCAGGAGUUGUCUACCACCAUGUUUUGGACUAAGGGAAAAAAGCAGAAUUCAGAAAAAUGCAACAUCAUGGAAGUUCCAGGAUGUCUGAAACCAGAGCACUGUAGCCACAAACAUCAGAACACAAACACACUGUUCUCCAGGAUGGCCUGCUUGGCCAGCCUCCCCCACCAUACUACUGCAGCCUCACCAGCCAGAGUCACUGAAAUUAAAGCCUGUAAGAAGCUGUCAGAUGAAAAAAUCUGUUUCUCCCUGUUGAGAGUUGAAUUGUAUUCCCCCCAAAUAGAUAUGUUCAAGUCCUAACCCCUGCUACCUGUAAAUGUGACCUUAUUUGGAAAUAGAGUCUUUGCAGAUGUAAUCAAGUUAAAAUGAGAUCAUACUGGAGUAGGUUGUCCCUAAAUCCAAUGAGUAGUGUCCUUAUAAGUGGAGAAGAAAAAAGAUACAGACACACAGGGGGAAUAUCAUGGGAAGAAAGAGGCAGAGAUUGGAGUGAUGCAGCUCCAAGCCAAGGAAUGCCAAGGAUUCUGGCAGCCACCAGAAGCCAGGAGAAGGCAUGGAACACAUUCUCCCUCUGAGCCCCAAGAAGGAGCCAGCCCUGCUGACACUUUGAUUUUGGACUCCCAGCCUCCAGAACUGUAAGAGAAUACAUUUCUCUUGUUUUAAGCCACUUAGUUUAUUGUGCUUUCUUGUGGCAGCCCUAGGAAGCUAAUACACUCCUUUGUUAAUACAGCAGAUCCUUGAAUAACA
Molecule: long non-coding RNA, 1700 nt
Organism: Homo sapiens (human)
Lineage: Eukaryota; Metazoa; Chordata; Mammalia; Primates; Hominidae
Gene: CDC5L-AS1
Product: CDC5L antisense RNA 1
Exons: 4
Source: RefSeq, a predicted model, not a curated record